Molecule: non-coding RNA, 30 nt
Filed under: Homo sapiens (human)
Lineage: Eukaryota; Metazoa; Chordata; Mammalia; Primates; Hominidae
Source: RNAcentral
UUGGAAAUUCAAUCAAGAUUCCAUGGGUGA